UAGGGAAUCUUCCGCAAUGGACGAAAGUCUGACGGAGCAACGCCGCGUGAGUGACGAAGGCCUUCGGGUCGUAAAGCUCUGUUGUUAGGGAAGAACAAGUACCGUUCGAAUAGGGCGGUACCUUGACGGUACCUAACCAGAAAGCCACGGCUAACUACGUGCCAGCAGCCGCGGUAAUACGUAGGUGGCAAGCGUUGUCCGGAAUUAUUGGGCGUAAAGCGCGCGCAGGCGGUCUCUUAAGUCUGAUGUGAAAGCCCACGGCUCAACCGUGGAGGGCCAUUGGAAACUGGGGGACUUGAGUGCAGAAGAGGAGAGUGGAAUUCCACGUGUAGCGGUGAAAUGCGUAGAUAUGUGGAGGAACACCAGUGGCGAAGGCGGCUCUCUGGUCUGUAACUGACGCUGAGGCGCGAAAGCGUGGGGAGCAAACAGGAUUAGAUACCCCCGUAGUCC
This 450-nucleotide ribosomal RNA is filed under the name uncultured prokaryote. RNAcentral describes it as "bacterial SSU rRNA". It matches the Rfam family "Bacterial small subunit ribosomal RNA", at positions 355 to 796 of the family's 1533-position model. The record is from RNAcentral.